RNAcentral lists this ribosomal RNA (720 nucleotides) under Paraleptophlebia submarginata. RNAcentral's name for it is "eukaryotic LSU rRNA". The stretch from base 450 to 720 matches the Rfam family "Eukaryotic large subunit ribosomal RNA", at positions 665 to 894 of the family's 3401-position model. The record is from RNAcentral. Lineage: Eukaryota; Metazoa; Arthropoda; Insecta; Ephemeroptera; Leptophlebiidae.
UAAAGGUCGAACGGGGAGAUUCAGUAUCCAGUCCUCACUGCCGCUUCGCGCCGCCGGGUACAACUUGGGAUCGCCCCUCGGGGUGGUCCCGGGCCCGCGGCRCGUCUCGCGCGCGGGAGGUGGAGCGCACUUCUCCCCUAGUAGGACGCCGCGACCCGCUGGGUGUCGGUCUGAGGUCCGGGUGCGAGCCCGGGACGCGGUUCGCCGCGCCCCGGAGCCCCGGUGUCCCGACCGACUGCCCGGCGGUAGAACGUGAGGAAUCGGCCCGCGGGACCUCUCGGUCACGCGCUCGUGCCCCUUGCGAGCGUCCGGUCGCGUUUCCCGUCGUGCGGACUUGUCCGCCGCGGGCCGGCCGGCGUUGUCGGCUUGGGGAUUUCUCGGGCAGCGGCCUUUAUCCUGUCUGCGGCGCUCACAACUGGGCGGCCCACCCGGCCCGUCUUGAAACACGGACCAAGGAGUCUAACAUGUGCGCGAGUCAUUGGGUCCCACUACACCCAAGGGCGUAUUGAACGAAAAGGCCUCCUCGGGGGCCGAGGGAAGAUGGGGUGGCGCUCGCGUCGCCCCCGCAUUCCCGGGGCGUCUCGUCCUACCGYCGCUCGUCGGCGGAAGGUGAGGCGCACCAAGAGCGCACACGUUGGGACCCGAAAGAUGGUGAACUAUGCCUGGCCAGGACGAAGUCAGGGGAAACCCUGAUGGAGGUCCGUAGCGAUUCUGACGUGC